GAAUGUUGGCAUUAGUAGCGAGAUGUAGGUGAGAAUCCUACAGGCCGAAUAUCUAAGGUUUCCUCAGGAAGGCUCGUCCGCUGAGGGUUAGUCGGGACCUAAGCCGAGGCCGAAAGGCGUAGGCGAUGGACAAUCGGUUGAUAUUCCGAUACCACUACCAUCGUUAUUAUCGAGGGUGUGACGGAGAAGGAUAGUGUGUGCUAGCGAUUGGAAAUGCUAGUCUAAGCGUUUAGGAAGUUACGGUAGGCAAAUCCGCUGUAACAAUUCUGAGGCGUGAUGGGGAAGGCCAUAUAGGCCGAAGUACAUGAUUCCAUGCUUCCAAGAAAAGCAUCUAGAGAGAGAAGUAGUGCCCGUACCGCAAACCGACACAGGUAGAUGAGGAGAGAAUCCUAAGGCCGGCGGAAGAAUUGCAGUUAAGGAACUAGGCAAAUUGACCCCGUAAGUUCGCGAGAAGGGGUGCCUGCGAGAGCAGGCCGCAGAGAAUAGGCCCAAGCAACUGUUUAGCAAAAACACAGGUCUCUGCUAAAGCGUAAGCUGAUGUAUAGGGGCUGACGCCUGCCCGGUGCUGGAAGGUUAAGGGGAACACUUAGCGCAAGCGAAGGUGUGAACUUAAGCCCCAGUAAACGGCGGCCGUAACAAUAACGGUCCUAAGGUAGCGAAAUUCCUUGUCAGGUAAGUUCUGACCCGCACGAAUGGCGUAAUGACUUGGGCACUGUCUCAACUGCAAAUCCGGCGAAGUUGUAGUGCGAGUGAAGAUGCUCGCUACCCGCGAUUGGACGGAGAGACCCCGUAGAGCUUUACUGUAGCUUAGCAUUGAAUUCCGGUAUUGUCUGUACAGGAUAGGUGGGAGACUGGGAAACUAGGGCGUCAGCCUUAGUGGAGUCAACCUUGGGAUACCACCCUGACAGUACUGGGGUUCUAACAGGACGCCAUGAAUCUGGUGACUGGACAUUGUUAGGUGGGCAGUUUGACUGGGGCGGUCGCCUCCUAAAAAGUAACGGAGGCGCCCAAAGGUUCCCUCAGAACGGUCGGAAAUCGUUCGUAGAGUGCAAAGGCAGAAGGGAGCCUGACUGCGAGACAUACAAGUCGAGCAGGGACGAAAGUCGGGCUUAGUGUUCCGGUGGUACCUCGUGGGAGGGCCAUCGCUCAACGGAUAAAAGCUACCUCGGGGAUAACAGGCUGAUCUCCCCCAAGAGUCCACAUCGACGGGGAGGUUUGGCACCUCGAUGUCGGCUCGUCGCAUCCUGGGGCUGUAGUAGGUCCCAAGGGUUGGGCUGUUCGCCCAUUAAAGCGGCACGCGAGCUGGGUUCAGAACGUCGUGAGACAGUUCGGUCCCUAUCCGUCGCGGGCGUAGGAAAUUUGAGAGGAGCUGUCCUUAGUACGAGAGGACCGGGAUGGACUGACCUCUGGUGCACCAGUUGUUCCGCCAGGAGCAUGGCUGGGUAGCUAAGUCGGGAAGGGAUAAACGCUGAAAGCAUCUAAGCGUGAAGCCUCCCUCAAGAUGAGAUUUCCCAUAGCAUAAGCUAGUAAGACCCCUUGAAGAACACAAGGUUGAUAGGUCAGAGGUGUAAGUGCGGUAACGUAUUUAGCUGACUGAUACUAAUAGGUCGAGGGCUUGAUC
This 1621-nucleotide ribosomal RNA is filed under the name metagenome. Its description in RNAcentral is "bacterial LSU rRNA". It matches the Rfam family "Bacterial large subunit ribosomal RNA", at positions 1292 to 2925 of the family's 2925-position model. The record is from RNAcentral.